Molecule: long non-coding RNA, 389 nt
Organism: Homo sapiens (human)
Lineage: Eukaryota; Metazoa; Chordata; Mammalia; Primates; Hominidae
Exons: 3
Source: RefSeq, a predicted model, not a curated record
CUCAGAAGUGGACACCUCUUCAGAAUAUAAUUGUAAAAUGAGAGAGAUCAUAACUCCAAACUUCUUAAGUGUGGGUUACACACAGUGACUUCCUUUUCUAAGAGUACAGUAUGGAGAAGAAUAAAAGACAUAACUUUAUAGUUAUCAGGGAAACCUGAUAACACCACCUCCCAGCCCAUAACUCCAGUUUCACCAUGAGGAAAACACAAAACUAACUCCAAUAUUGGGAGAAUCUAUAAAAUACCUGGCCAGAACUCAAAACCUUCAAGGUCAUCAAAAACAAGGAAAGCCUGAGGAACUGUCACAGCCAAGAGGAACCUCAAAAUACAAGACAGCAAAAUGUACUGUGAUAUCUUGGAUGGGAUACUAGAACAGGGAAAGCAUGUCAG